This 688-nucleotide ribosomal RNA is filed under the name uncultured fungus. Its description in RNAcentral is "eukaryotic LSU rRNA". It matches the Rfam family "Eukaryotic large subunit ribosomal RNA", at positions 78 to 621 of the family's 3401-position model. The record is from RNAcentral. Lineage: Eukaryota; Fungi.
CCCUAGUAACGGCGAGUGAAGCGGGAUGAGCUCAAAUUUAAAAUCUGGCUGGUUUACUAGUCCGAAUUGUAGUUUAUAGAAGCGUUUUCGGUGGCAGCCUGGGUAUAAAUCCUUUGGAAUAGGGUAUCAUAGAGGGUGAGAAUCCCGUCUUUGACUCAGUGCAUGCUACUAUGUGAUACGUUUUCAAAGAGUCGAGUUGUUUGGGAAUGCAGCUCAAAAUGGGUGGUAAAUUUCAUCUAAGGCUAAAUAUUGGCGAGAGACCGAUAGCGAACAAGUACCGUGAGGGAAAGAUGAAAAGAACUUUGAAAAGAGAGUUAAACAGUGCGUGAAAUUGUUGAAAGGGAAACGCUUGACACCAGUUAUGCGGGUGGAAAAUCAGUCUUUUGCAAUGGGGAGUUGUGGGCGUUCAGACCGCAAGGCUGGCGUUUGCUUCAUCUUUGUUGUAAGUGAUGCACUUUUUCAUUUGCAGGUCAACAUCAGUUUGCUUUGCUGGACAAAACCCCAAGGGAAGGUGGCAGCUUAGGCUGUGUUAUAGCCCUGGGGCGAUACAGUGGAGUGGACUGAGGUUUCGCAGUGUGUGCUUUCGGGCAAGGCUGAUUGGGUGCUAUGGGAUCGUUCGGCGUACAAUGCUUGCAUUUUGCGUCGUGUCCUUUUCAUACUCGCUCAACUCGGCUCUUCCACGCUUAGG